AUUUGGGGAACAUAAUUUUUGAGUCCUCCUCGUCUUCAGCACAAGCCUUGCCAUUUGGCAAGGUUGGCUGGGAGUAAUUUUUGCUUAUGAGGGGCUUCGGCAGGCAAGGGUCUUCGCGGCUGGGAGUGAUUUUCGCGCGAAGACCUUCGGCAGGUGGAGCCAUGGUGGGCUCGGCGUGAUCUUGAGCCAGGCUUCAUUAGCUGGAUUUUUAGACUUUUGGCAAAAUUUUGAGAGCCCCAUCCUCCUUCAGCCGCCAUCUUCUGAAGUAGGUUUGUUGGGAGGGGACUCCCUAUAACUUUGGUUUAAGCAUCGACGUGAGUCUUCGUGAGUCCUCGUAGAGCACCGUGAGUUCCCGGCAUGAAUAGGGCUCUGGCAAGGCUGUUUCAAACUUUGAAUUUUGAAUUUCGAAUUUUUGGAGCAGGUACACGAAUUUUUCGAAUUUCUGUGAUGAUAUUGUACAUUGUCAUGGUGCAAAUAUUAUUCAUAACAAACAUGAGGAAAUUAAUUUUCUUCUUCUUUUAUUCGUUUUCGAUUUCAGGCCUUCCCACAAGGCUUCCCACUUGUUGCUCAUGUUUCAAGGGCAAUCCUGAAUGUGACUCAAGAUUAUAAGGAAAUGGAAAAAAUGCAACUCAAUUAUUUUCCAGAUGAAACCAAAUGUCAAGACGCAAGUCCCACAUUCUCUUCAGACAAUUCUAGUCUAAGUGUGUACACUUUCGGAGGCCUCUUCAUCAUCACAACAGUGAUUUCGAUUUCUUCAUGGUUGAUUUAUAUAGUUUGUUUCCUCCACAAAUACUGGCCUGCUUUGAAUUCCAUCCAUCGAGAAGCCUCCCCCUUGUCAAAAUUAGUGUUUUGACCGAAAAGACAGCACUCUGUUUUCUUUAGAGCAAACCAGUCAAGCUACUCAUGCACAUGCUGCUUCUGCAACAAAUGCUAGAAGAGCUAAUGCUGCUUCAUCAGAUGCUAGGGACAACAUGCUGAGCAAUGCAAUGUCUUCCAACCAAGGAUUGGACAAUGUCGCCAUAGACGACGAAGAAGAUAUACCUCUACCUUCUAUGGAUUUUGGGCGCUUCUCCUAUGGUUGUGCAUGAUUUCUGAUAUAUGUGCUCUACCUACUGAAGUUCUGUUUAAGAAAGUAUACUUCACAUAAUGAAUGCUGGGAUUUUUUUUUUUUCUUCAA
Long non-coding RNA from Prunus persica (peach), 1177 nucleotides. RefSeq lists it as uncharacterized. NCBI's taxonomy places the organism in Eukaryota, Viridiplantae, Streptophyta, Magnoliopsida, Rosales, Rosaceae. The record is from RefSeq and is a predicted model, not a curated record. The transcript has 2 exons.